CAGUCGCCGCGGUAAUACGGAGGGUGCAAGCGUUAUCCGGAUUUAUUGGGUUUAAAGGGUCCGUAGGCGGAUCUGUAAGUCAGUGGUGAAAUCUCACAGCUUAACUGUGAAACUGCCAUUGAUACUGCAGGUCUUGAGUAAAUUUGAAGUGGCUGGAAUAAGUAGUGUAGCGGUGAAAUGCAUAGAUAUUACUUAGAACACCAAUUGCGAAGGCAGGUCACUAAGAUUUAACUGACGCUGAUGGACGAAAGCGUGGGGAGCGAACAGGAUUAGAGACCCCCGUAGUCCCUGUCUCUUAUAC
RNAcentral lists this ribosomal RNA (301 nucleotides) under uncultured bacterium. RNAcentral describes it as "partial 16S ribosomal RNA". It matches the Rfam family "Bacterial small subunit ribosomal RNA", at positions 509 to 807 of the family's 1533-position model. The record is from RNAcentral.